UGUCGCACGAAAAACACUAAACUUCCCCCACGCUCUGUAAAUUCAUUCCAUACUAUGUCUUGGUCACGACAGAGGUCCUGAUGAAAACUAUUUUCCUGCGUUUCUGCUCGCCUAUACAGAUGGAGACUUUUGAAGAUAUUCUAAAAUGGGUGGACAACGAUUUUUCAGCGGACAGCCCCCCAGCAAGGAUAUGUGCUGCAUUAUGGACUGAACGACUUUGGAGGAGCCGAUAAAACAGACAGUAUUCUGCCGUUUUGUAUGAACGGUUUUCCAAACAAUCAAAGAACCGAGGCUAUAACCAGCAGAUCCACACCCCCGGGAACCUCAAGCCAAUCGCUCCAUAAUCUGGCAUUUACUACGCUUCAUAGUCCUUCACGACUCCUCACAACUGUGGCCCAAGUGCAUUGCGCAGAAUCACCCCGUCCCGAGAAGGGCUACAGGGCUGAAAACGUACGGAUUCAUGAACCGGCGCUCUAUGGAUACGGUAUGACCCCAUUAUACAUUUGUUAUUAGUUAUACAUUUUUUAUUAGUUAUACAUUUUUUGAUAGAAUAUGUUAAAACAAUGUCACUCCAACGAUACACGCCCGGCAGAAUCUGCAAAGCCAGGUGAAAAAAGUAUAGCGCCCUUGGUAUCCACGAUUCAUCAGAACAGCCUGCGUCAAAAAAACAGAGACCCAGCGUAUACAGGCACAGAAGGCCCAGGAUCGAGAGCACUGGAGGAUUUCGUCGCCCAGGACAUCCACAGUAAAACACUGAAACCGGAUGAUUUCAACGCUUUAAAUGACAAUUCUGAGCUCGACGAUAUGCUGUUGUACGAAGCUGCCAACCAUCUUGAUACAGUGAAUUUUCUGAGGUAGAAACACCAGAUAGGUUUCUCACAGCCUUUUACAGGGCUCUAUACAAUCCAGAAAGGUCUUGCUACACAAACAAAUGGUGGCUUUACACAAGCGGCAAAACAGUCAAGAUCUAUCUUUCUGACAUAGAACAAUGCCCCAUUUGUUAAACAACAAUAUGGUUAAAAAACACAAAUACAAGCGCUAAAAACCUUUAUGUAACAUGGAUCCUUCCAGAAUACCACAAGAACACACAUCCUUAAUUAACCAAUUGAAUGAGACCGGGGCGACAGAUCCCAAAAUUCAGACACUUGAAAACCUGUUAUUGCAGAUUCGAAGAACUCCUAUCCUUAAUUAACAAAAUGAAUGAGAGCACAAGAUCUUCGACCCCAGAACACCCACACACCCCUCCUUUAACUCCCAUGUCCGAGGAGUCUGAACCACAAUACGUUGUUUUUGAGGAAUUGGAAAAUUGUAUAAUAAAUCAGGGGGGCGAUGGUCUUGAUUGAAGUGUUUGGGUUGUGUACCGAAAUAAAUUCAGCAAUGCAGAGAUUCGACAGGUUUUUUAACUGCACAUGGCUGAAUCAGAACCUUGAUUAUGCAGUUUUAUAUGUGAUGAUAUUAGAUACUCUGAACGAACUGUUAGAUGUCCUCGAGAUGUCCUCGUGAUGUCUUACAGCUUGAAAUUUGUGGAGAUAGCAUGCAAAACACUGUAUCUCUUGUUUUACCCAAUGGCGCAGCAGAUCUUGAACAAUUUAUAGCCCUGCUGGAACGACUUGUUCAAUCAAAUUUGUCUAUCAUAGCUGAUAGAACCCUCGAGCUCGUAGUACAUCAACUCCUAGGUGGAGGGGGUCAGAGAAGGAAACUUGAUAGUCUCAUGCAAUCAGAAAUCAUAAGCAAUAGAAGGGCAUAUCUCAGAAACGGUUACAAUCCUGGUGAUCAGCUAUGCUUUGCAAUAGGCCUAGCACAUUUACUCAACCCUGGAUGUACUGAUCUAGAGGCUUUACAAAACGCUCGGGAGCUUCAUAAUGCCGUGGGUCUAGGUAUACAGGAUGCUGUGGCUUUCUCUGACAUAGUCAAAUUUGAAAAAUUUCUGAACAUCAAGAUUGUGGUUUUGUACCACAGUGGCGAAUUUGCCAAUCUUGGUGUUCUCUGGCAAAUGCCAAACGUCCUGCACGGUGUUGGGCUGUAAGCACAACCCCCACCUGUGGACGUCGGGCCCUCAUACCACCCUCAUGGAGUCUGUUUCUGACCGUUUGAGCAGACACAUGCACAUUUGUGGCCUGCUGGAGGUCAUUUUGCAGGGCUCUGGCAGUGCUCCUCCUGCUCAAAGGCGGAGGUAGCGGUCCUGCUGCUGGGUAGUUGCCCUCCUACGGCCUCCUCCACGUCUCCUGAUGUACUGGCCUGUCUCCUGGUAGCGCCUCCAUGCUCUGGACACUACGCUGACAGACACAGCAAACCUUCUUGCCACAGCUUGCAUUGAUGUGCCAUCCUGGAUGAGUUGCACUACCUGAGCCACUUGUGUGGGUUGUAGACUCCGUCUCAUGCUACCACUAGAGUGAAAGCACCGCCAGCAUUCAAAAGUGACCAAAACAUCAGCCAGGAAGCAUAGGAACUGAGAAGUGGUCUGUGGUCACCACCUGCAGAACCACUCCUUUAUUGUGUGUCUUGUGUCUUGCUAAUUGCCUAUAGUUUCCACCUGUUGUCUAUCCCAUUUGCACAACAGCAUGUGAAAUUUAAUGUCAAUCAGUGUUGCUUCCAAAGUGGACAAUUUGAUUUCACAGAAGUGUGAUUGACUUGGAGUUACAUUGUGUUGUUUAAGUGUUCCCUUUAUUUUUUUGAGCAGUGUAUAUCAACUCAUACACCCUGUACCAUGGAAUCGGUACAUCAAAAAUCUCUUCCCAACUAUUUUGCAAUCUGUAUGGCAUAGUUCUCAACAUCCUGGUCCUCAAAUGAUACUGGUAUACUUUCCUAUUUAUUCUAUUUUUUAUUCCUCUGCCAGUUUUUAUCCUUUAUAUUGGGCAGACAGACCAGUUCCCUACCUCCUCCCGCUGCCUACUGCGUCCUCCAUUUUUGGGGUAAUGCUGUAAUCAAUUGGUUGUACUCUUGGAUUGAGCAGACCUUCCCGUACAAUUCUGAUAACUCCAUGAAGGACAUAACUCUACCAUUCCAAUUUGCAAUAUCAUUUAAGAACAAAAUACCCUUUUCAAACAUCUUUCCCAUAAAUACAGGUAUUUUAUCAACCAGCACAUUUGAGUUCAGCCAUAAUAUUUGUUGUAAUAUUUGUUCAAUCUUUUCAGGGGGGUGAAAUUUAAAUUGUAGCAAGUUCUGCAAUGCUUGUUUGAAAAACAGAGAUACUUUGAAAAAAAGUAUAAUUUUCAAUUAAUCGAAAAUGAGACAUGGCAAUCUGCACAAAGGCAAAAACUCAUUAAUCGUUUGUUUUAAUCCAUCCCAACGUUUAUGUACCCUUUAUUUAGCAUGUACUACCCUUAGACACGGCAACAUUUAUCUCACCACCGAGUCUAACGAUUUAGUCCCGUAUAUGACUGGUCUCUCUUUUCCCCUGAUUUUCCAUAACCACUGCACUACAUUGCCCUUCAUGUUUAUGAACACACAUUUUAAAAGGUAAUUUUAGGUUUGGCAACCCCAAUGCUGGAGCCUGACACAAUUGCUUUUUCAAAACUCUACAAACAAUUACUCACAAUAUUAACUCCACUCUAAUUACUCGUGACUCCUCCCUUUCGUCAAUUCUAUAAAUCUAUUUCAGAAUAAGACAAGAAAAAUGUACAAUGAGAUUACAACCCCUAGGGUUUUCCUGAGUCUGCGGGGAGUUUUUGGUCGUACCAAAGAACGCGUUAUUCCUAUUCUAUCAUGUGUAACGUGCUUUCCAAAAUCGAAACCCCCAAAUAUGUUCUCUUGUUUCGCUGGUUGUACUUUCCCAUAUGAUGCUUUGUGACCAAGCCCACACAAUAUACCAAGCCCACACAAUAGAACCGAAAUACAUGCAACAAACAUGCACAAAACCAUGGUGUAACGGUGUUCCUCCUACUCUUCAUCCGAAGAGGAGGAGCAUGGAUUGAACCAAGGCGCAGCGUUUUGAAAUGACAUAAUUUUAAUUAAACAAGAUGGGAAAAACACGAAACGAAACCACUUGAAAUAAUUAACAAAAUAACAAAACGAAUGUAGACAAACCUGAACAUACGAACUUACAUAAAACACGAAGAACGCACAACAGGAAAAAUGACUACAUAAAACGAAGAACGCACGAAACAGUCCCGUAUGGUGCAACAAACACUAACACAGGAGACAACCACCCACAACGAACACUGUGAAACAGCCUACCUAAAUAUGACUCUCAAUUAGAGUAACGCCAAACACCUGCCUCUAAUUGAGAGCCAUACCAGGCAACCCUAAACCAACAUAGAAACAGAAAGAAAGAAUGCCCACCCAAACUCACGUCCUGGCCAACUAACACAUACAACAAACUAACAGAAAUAGGUCAGGAACGUGACACAUGGGGAAAACAGAGGGUUAAAUAAUGAACAUGUAAUUGGGGAAUUGAAACCAGGUGUGUAAAACAAAGACAAAACAAAUGGAAAAUGAAAAGUGGAUCGGCGAUGGCUAGAAGGCCGGUGACGUCGACUGCUGAACACCGCCCGAAUAAGGAGAGGGACCGACUUUGGCGGAAGUCGUGACAAAUUCAGUAAUUGUUGUUGUCCCGCUUUACCAACCAUAGCUAGCUAAAGUUGGACAACAUGGAGUAGCUAAAGUGGGACAGUCUUAUAGGCUUUUCCAAUAGAGGAACGAGAUCCAGUUUACAUUAGCAAUCCCCUGCACUUAGGUUUGUCAGGGCUUAGACCAAGAUGUACUCUUAAGGAGCCUACCGUUACUCCUUAAGGUCUAGGAUCUUAUGUUAUUUUCAGAGGUAGACUGACUCUGGCAGCCAAAAUAACCAAAUACUCCAUCUAAACGUGAACCGAUUCUCAAUUGUGAUGCGGUUCUAGAAACAUCAACAUCAUUUCACAAACGCAAAAAUAUAUACUUACUGUACACUGUUUUAACCGGCUUUAUCACAUUUGCAGCCGACAGUAUUUUUCAGGAUAACACAUUUUCAACACAUCCACGGUUUUCUUCCGUUACACACAAGUGUUCGGAGCAUGCUAGAUAGCUGACAGUUUAUCCCUCUAUCUUCCAUCUGUCUUUUGUAAACAAACCACAAUCAUGGGCAUUAAUAUGGAGUUGGUUCCUCUUUGCUGCUACAACAGCUUCGACUCUUCUGAGAAGGCUUUCUACUCGAUGUUGGAACAUUGCUGCAGGGACUUGCUUCCAUUCAACCACGAGCAUUAGUGAGAUCCGGCACUUCUGUUGGUCGAUCAGGCCUGGCUCGAUGGGGUUCUUCCACAUCGAUCUCGACCAACCAUUUUGUAUGGACUUCACUUUGUGCACAAGGGCAUUUUCAUGCUGCAACAGGAAAGGGCCUUCCCCAAACUAUUGCCACAAAGUUGGAAGCACAGAACCGACUAGAAUGUCAUUGUUUUUGUCAUCUUCCAUUGUCAUUGAGGCGGUAGGUAGCCUAGUGGUUAGAGCAUUGGGCCAGUAACCGAAAGGUUGGUGGAUUGAAUCGCCGAGCUGCCAAGGUCAAAAUCUGUCAUUCUGCCCCUGAACAAGGCAGUUAAUCCACUGUUCCUAGGCCAUCACUGUAAAUAAGGAUUUGUUCUUAACUGACUUGCCUAGUUAAGUAAAGGUAAAAUAAAGCAAUUGUAUGCUGUAGCGUUAAGAUUUCCCUUCACAGAACUAAGGGGUCUAGCACGAAGCAAGAAAAACAGCCCCAAACCAUUAUUCCUCAUUUACCAAACCUUACAAUUGGCGCUAUGCAUUCGUGCAGGUAGUGUUCUCCUGGCAUCCGCCAAACCCAGAUUCGUCCGUCGGACUGCCAGAUGGAGAAGAGUGAUUCAUCACUCCAGAGAACGCUUAUACACUGCUCCGGAGUCCAAUGGCAGCGAGCUUUACACCACUCCAGCCGACAGUUGGCUUUGAGCAUGGUGAUCUUAGGUUUGUGUGCAGCUGCUCGGCCAUGGAAACCCAUUUCAUGAAGCUCUCGGCGUACAGUUACUGUGCUGACAUUGCUUCCAGUGGCAGUUUGGAACUCGGUAGUGAGUGUUGCAACAGAGGACAGACGAGUUUUACGCGUUACACGCUUCAGCACUCGGCGGUCACGUUCUGUAAGCUUGUGAGGCCUACCACGUUGCAGCUGAGCCGUUGCUGCUCCGAGACGUUUCCACUUCACAAUAAGAGCACUUACAUUUGACCAGGGCAGCUCUAACAGGGCAGAAAUUUGACGGACUGACUUGUUGGAAAGGUGGCAUCCUAUUGCCAAUAUUUGUCAAUGUAGAUUGCAUGGCUGUGUGCUCGAUUUUAUACACCUGUUAGCCACGGGUGUGGCUGAAAUCGCAAAAAUCCACUAACUUGAAGGGGUGUCCACAUACUUUUGUAAAUAGAGUGUAUCAUGUGUAUCAAUAUGUUGGAAUGAUGUCGAAAGAGGUUACAGAAGACGGAAAUGCACAGUUUCUCACUUUUUCUGAAUUCACCCUAGUUAAACUAGUAAUUACACUUCAUGUUGCAGUAGCUUGGUGGUAGUGUUGUCAGUACUUCAUUCGUUUUUUUCCAUGUAGUGGUGCUAAUUCCUGGAACUACACACUACUUUUUUGCAAAAAGUAAAGGAAAUAUGGUUGUAGGGGAGAAUUUCAUUUAUUUUUCAGCAUCAGACCUGCCUAGUUCUCACUUGAAACAGUUUUUGGGGAUACAUUGCCUUCAGAAAGUAUUCACAAUACUUGACUUUUUCCACAUUUUGUUGUUCAAAUGGAUUUAAUUGUAUUUUUUGUCAAAGAUCCACACAAAUUACUCUAAUGUCAAAGUGGAAGAAAAAUGUUAACAUUUGUAAAAUAAAAUAUUAAAAAUAAAACACUAAUAUAUCUUGAUUAGAUAGGACCUUAAACCACUGAGUCAAUAUAUUUUAGAAUCACCUAUGGCAGUGAUUACAGUUGUGAGUCUUUCUGGGUACAUUUCUAAGAGCUUCUUUUCAAAAUUCUUCAAGCUCUGUCAAAUUGUUUGUUGAUCAUUGCAAGACAACCAUUUUCAGGUUUUGCCAUAGAUUUUCAAGAAGAUUUAAGUCAAAAAUGUAACUCGGCCACUCACUGUCUUCUUGGUAAGCAACUCCAGUGUAGGUUAUUCUCCUGCUGAAAGGUGAAUUCCUCUCCCACUGUCUGUUGGAAAGCGGACUGAACCACGUUUCCCUCUAGAAUUUUGCCUGUGCUUAGCUCUAUUCCGUUUCUUUUUAUCCUGAAAACCCUCCAGUCCUUAACGAUUACAAGCAUACCCAUAACUUGAUGCAGCCACCAUUAUGCUUGAACAUAUGGAGAGUGGUACUCAGUAAUAUGUUGUAUUGGAUUUGCCCCAAACAUAACACUUAAUUAAUUGCUUUGCCACAUUUUUUGCAGUAUUACUUUAGUGAUUUUUUGCAAACAAGAUAAAUGUUUUGGAAUAUGUGUAUUUUGUUCCUUCUUUUCAUCUGUCAAUUAGGUUAGUAUUGUGGAGUAACUACAAUGUUGUUGAUCCAUCCUUAGUUAUCUCCUACCAUAGCCAUUAAACUCUGUAACUGUUUCAAAGUAA
Long non-coding RNA from Salvelinus fontinalis (brook trout), 7503 nucleotides. RefSeq lists it as uncharacterized. NCBI's taxonomy places the organism in Eukaryota, Metazoa, Chordata, Actinopteri, Salmoniformes, Salmonidae. The record is from RefSeq and is a predicted model, not a curated record. The transcript is spliced from 4 exons.